UUGAUAUAUGGGGUAUGCUUAAGGACAUAGGUAUACCACCAUCUCUUUUCAGGAAAGCAUAUGUGUUCCUUGUCAAGGACUCCAAAAUGUUAGAAAGUGUGAUUAGAUGCCCGGUUGAGGAUUGUAAAUCGAUUUUGUUGGAUCUAAUGGGUAUUGUUGAUGGAUCAUAAAGCUAAAAUGAAAGGGCAAUUGCACCGGUUACAAUGUCGUCACAAUGAUGUCUUGCCCGAUGUUUCGUUGCUUUAAGUGUUGGGUUUUUAUUAAGUGUAAUAACUAUAGUGAAUGACACUUAUGAAAGUGUGGAGGUUAUUAUGUGAACUUUUUUUGUUGUUGAGAAAUUGAUGUAAGUGUGGAUUGUAUCAUGUUGACUACUUUAUUAUCUAUGAACAAAUUGGUAUUUGGUAA
This is a long non-coding RNA of Dioscorea cayenensis subsp. rotundata (Guinea yam), 405 nucleotides long. RefSeq lists it as uncharacterized. The transcript is spliced from 2 exons. Lineage: Eukaryota; Viridiplantae; Streptophyta; Magnoliopsida; Dioscoreales; Dioscoreaceae. The record is from RefSeq and is a predicted model, not a curated record.